GGAAUGAUUCCUGAUAUAAGGACCACUUAAUGACUUUUCUCAAGGAAUUCAUAAAAAGAAUACUGUGGAAUGAAUUUAACAAGAUUAAGUGAUUUUCAUUCGUUGGUAUUAGAAUGUGAAGGCAAAGCAACUCAAAGCAGAAAUUUAACCAAAUGGGAAGGACAUAUGCUGGUUUAAAUCUCUUCUGUGAAACUGUAAAGAGAAAUAAAGAAGUAUGAGGUGAUGCAAAA
Molecule: long non-coding RNA, 230 nt
Organism: Pan troglodytes (chimpanzee)
Lineage: Eukaryota; Metazoa; Chordata; Mammalia; Primates; Hominidae
Exons: 2
Source: RefSeq, a predicted model, not a curated record